Molecule: long non-coding RNA, 224 nt
Filed under: Mytilus galloprovincialis (Mediterranean mussel)
Lineage: Eukaryota; Metazoa; Mollusca; Bivalvia; Mytilida; Mytilidae
Source: RNAcentral
UUUCUGGCACUUUCCUUUACUAUUUAUGGAGCAAUGACCCCUUAAAUGAGCAUAAUUUGUAUUAAAAGGUCAAUUUUGGUACUUUUUGCCCAUAAUUUUAAUUGUUUUUGGCAUAAUUAACUUUAGCCUCCAUCUACGAUCCAAAAAGUUUUUAUAUUGAUGAAAUCUAUAUCAAUAUUGGAAUCUUUUGGUUACAACACAUUCUGGAUCGUAGGUGGCGGCCA